UUAAGCGACUAAGCGUACACGGUGGAUGCCCUGGCAGUCAGAGGCGAUGAAGGACGUGCUAAUCUGCGAAAAGCGUCGGUAAGGUGAUAUGAACCGUUAUAACCGGCGAUGUCCGAAUGGGGAAACCCAGUGUGAUUCGUCACACUAUCGUUAACUGAAUACAUAGGUUAACGAGGCGAACCGGGGGAACUGAAACAUCUAAGUACCCCGAGGAAAAGAAAUCAACCGAGAUUCCCCCAGUAGCGGCGAGCGAACGGGGAGCAGCCCAGAGUCUGAAUCAGCUUGUGUGUUAGUGGAACGGUCUGGAAAGUCCGACGGUACAGGGUGAUAGUCCCGUACACCAAAAUGCACAGGCUGUGAACUCGAAGAGUAGGGCGGGACACGUGGUAUCCUGUCUGAAUAUGGGGGGACCAUCCUCCAAGGCUAAAUACUCCUGACUGACCGAUAGUGAACCAGUACCGUGAGGGAAAGGCGAAAAGAACCCCGGCGAGGGGAGUGAAAAAGAACCUGAAACCGUGUACGUACAAGCAGUGGGAGCACCUUCGGGUGUGACUGCGUACCUUUUGUAUAAUGGGUCAGCGACUUAUAUUCUGUAGCAAGGUUAACCGUAUAGGGGAGCCGCAGGGAAACCGAGUCUUAACUGGGCGUUAAGUUGCAGGGUAUAGACCCGAAACCCGGUGAUCUAGCCAUGGGCAGGUUGAAGGUUGGGUAACACUAACUGGAGGACCGAACCGACUAAUGUUGAAAAAUUAGCGGAUGACUUGUGGCUGGGGGUGAAAGGCCAAUCAAACCGGGAGAUAGCUGGUUCUCCCCGAAAGCUAUUUAGGUAGCGCCUCGUGAACUCAUCUUCGGGGGUAGAGCACUGUUUCGGCUAGGGGGUCAUCCCGACUUACCAACCCGAUGCAAACUACGAAUACCGAAGAAUGUUAUCACGGGAGACACACGGCGGGUGCUAACGUCCGUCGUGAAGAGGGAAACAACCCAGACCGCCAGCUAAGGUCCCAAAGUCAUGGUUAAGUGGGAAACGAUGUGGGAAGGCACAGACAGCCAGGAUGUUGGCUUAGAAGCAGCCAUCAUUUAAAGAAAGCGUAAUAGCUCACUGGUCGAGUCGGCCUGCGCGGAAGAUGUAACGGGGCUAAACCAUGCACCGAAGCUGCGGCAGCGACACUAUGUGUUGUUGGGUAGGGGAGCGUUCUGUAAGCCUGCGAAGGUGUGCUGUGAGGCAUGCUGGAGGUAUCAGAAGUGCGAAUGCUGACAUAAGUAACGAUAAAGCGGGUGAAAAGCCCGCUCGCCGGAAGACCAAGGGUUCCUGUCCAACGUUAAUCGGGGCAGGGUGAGUCGACCCCUAAGGCGAGGCCGAAAGGCGUAGUCGAUGGGAAACAGGUUAAUAUUCCUGUACUUGGUGUUACUGCGAAGGGGGGACGGAGAAGGCUAUGUUAGCCGGGCGACGGUUGUCCCGGUUUAAGCAUGUAGGCUGGUUAUCCAGGCAAAUCCGGAUAAUCAAGGCUGAGGUGUGAUGACGAGGCACUACGGUGCUGAAGUAACAAAUGCCCUGCUUCCAGGAAAAGCCUCUAAGCAUCAGGUAACAUCAAAUCGUACCCCAAACCGACACAGGUGGUCAGGUAGAGAAUACCAAGGCGCUUGAGAGAACUCGGGUGAAGGAACUAGGCAAAAUGGUGCCGUAACUUCGGGAGAAGGCACGCUGGUGUGUAGGUGAAGCCCCUGCGGGUGGAGCUGAGACCAGUCGAAGAUACCAGCUGGCUGCAACUGUUUAUUAAAAACACAGCACUGUGCAAACACGAAAGUGGACGUAUACGGUGUGACGCCUGCCCGGUGCCGGAAGGUUAAUUGAUGGGGUUAUCCGUAAGGAGAAGCUCUUGAUCGAAGCCCCGGUAAACGGCGGCCGUAACUAUAACGGUCCUAAGGUAGCGAAAUUCCUUGUCGGGUAAGUUCCGACCUGCACGAAUGGCGUAAUGAUGGCCAGGCUGUCUCCACCCGAGACUCAGUGAAAUUGAACUCGCUGUGAAGAUGCAGUGUACCCGCGGCAAGACGGAAAGACCCCGUGAACCUUUACUAUAGCUUGACACUGAACAUUGAGCCUUGAUGUGUAGGAUAGGUGGGAGGCUUUGAAGCGUGGACGCCAGUCUGCGUGGAGCCAACCUUGAAAUACCACCCUUUAAUGUUUGAUGUUCUAACGUUGGCCCCUUAUCGGGGUUGCGGACAGUGUCUGGUGGGUAGUUUGACUGGGGCGGUCUCCUCCCAAAGCGUAACGGAGGAGCACGAAGGUUAGCUAAUCUUGGUCGGACAUCAGGAGGUUAGUGCAAUGGCAUAAGCUAGCUUGACUGCGAGCGUGACGGCGCGAGCAGGUGCGAAAGCAGGUCAUAGUGAUCCGGUGGUUCUGAAUGGAAGGGCCAUCGCUCAACGGAUAAAAGGUACUCCGGGGAUAACAGGCUGAUACCGCCCAAGAGUUCAUAUCGACGGCGGUGUUUGGCACCUCGAUGUCGGCUCAUCACAUCCUGGGGCUGAAGUAGGUCCCAAGGGUAUGGCUGUUCGCCAUUUAAAGUGGUACGCGAGCUGGGUUUAGAACGUCGUGAGACAGUUCGGUCCCUAUCUGCCGUGGGCGCUGGAGAAUUGAGGGGGGCUGCUCCUAGUACGAGAGGACCGGAGUGGACGCAUCACUGGUGUUCGGGUUGUCAUGCCAAUGGCACUGCCCGGUAGCUAAAUGCGGAAGAGAUAAGUGCUGAAAGCAUCUAAGCACGAAACUUGCCCCGAGAUGAGUUCUCCCUGAGACUUUAAGUCUCCUGAAGGAACGUUAAAGACGAUGACGUUGAUAGGCCGGGUGUGUAAGCGCAGCGAUGCGUUGAGCUAACCGGUACUAAUGAACCGUGAGGCUUAACCUU
Molecule: ribosomal RNA, 2900 nt
Filed under: Klebsiella pneumoniae
Lineage: Bacteria; Pseudomonadati; Pseudomonadota; Gammaproteobacteria; Enterobacterales; Enterobacteriaceae
Description: bacterial LSU rRNA
Rfam family: Bacterial large subunit ribosomal RNA
Source: RNAcentral